AACCGAGAACUCCUACGGGAGGCAGCAGUAGGGAAUCUUCCGCAAUGGACGAAAGUCUGACGGAGCAACGCCGCGUGAGCGAAGAAGGCCUUCGGGUCGUAAAGCUCUGUUGUUAGGGAAGAACAAGUAACGCAGUAACUGGCGUUACCGUGACGGUACCUAACGAGAAAGCCACGGCUAACUACGUGCCAGCAGCCGCGGUAAUACGUAGGUGGCAAGCGUUGUCCGGAAUUAUUGGGCGUAAAGCGCGCGCAGGCGGUUCCUUAAGUCUGAUGUGAAAGCCCACGGCUCAACCGUGGAGGGUCAUUGGAAACUGGAAAACUUGAGUGCAGAAGAGGAAAGUGGAAUUCCAUGUGUAGCGGUGAAAUGCGCAGAGAUAUGGAGGAACACCAGUGGCGAAGGCGACUUUCUGGUCUGUAACUGACGCUGAUGUGCGAAAGCGUGGGGAUCAAACAGGAUUAGAAACCCUUGUAGUCCGACUGAGA
RNAcentral lists this ribosomal RNA (485 nucleotides) under uncultured bacterium. RNAcentral describes it as "bacterial SSU rRNA". It matches the Rfam family "Bacterial small subunit ribosomal RNA", at positions 327 to 805 of the family's 1533-position model. The record is from RNAcentral.